Molecule: ribosomal RNA, 500 nt
Filed under: uncultured bacterium
Lineage: Bacteria
Description: partial 16S ribosomal RNA
Rfam family: Bacterial small subunit ribosomal RNA
Source: RNAcentral
AUUGAACGCUUGCGUCAUGCCUUACACAUGCAAGUCGAACGGCAGCACGGGAGCAAUCCUGGUGGCGAGUGGCGAACGGGUGAGUAAUGUAUCGGAACGUGCCCAGUCGUGGGGGAUAACGCAGCGAAAGCUGUGCUAAUACCGCAUACGAUCUAUGGAUGAAAGCGGGGGAGCGCAAGACCUCGCGCGAUUGGAGCGGUCGAUAUCAGAUAAGCUAGCUGGUUGGGUAAAAGAUUACCAAGGCGACGAGCUGUAGCUGGUCUGAGAGGCAGACAAGCCAGAGUGUGAGUGAGACGCGGUCCAGACUCCUAGGGGAGGCAGCAGUGGGGAAUUUUGGACAAUGGGCGAAAGCCUGAUCCAGCAAUGCCGCGUGCAGGAUGAAGGCCUUCGGGUUGUAAACUGCUUUUGUCCGGAGCGAAAAGGCUCUCUCUAAUACAGGGGGCUCAUGACGGUACCGUAAGAAUAAGCACCGGCUAACUACGUGCCAGCCGCCGCCGUAA